This 272-nucleotide ribosomal RNA is filed under the name uncultured Methanosaeta sp. RNAcentral describes it as "partial 16S ribosomal RNA". It matches the Rfam family "Archaeal small subunit ribosomal RNA", at positions 1066 to 1338 of the family's 1478-position model. The record is from RNAcentral. Lineage: Archaea; Methanobacteriati; Methanobacteriota; Methanomicrobia; Methanotrichales; Methanotrichaceae.
GCCAGCGUACUCUCCGGAGUGACGGGUACACUGUGGGGACCGCCGCUGCUAAAGCGGAGGAAGGAAUGGGCAACGGUAGGUCAGUAUGCCCCGAAUAUCCCGGGCUACACGCGAGCUACAAUGGUUGGUACAAUGGGUAUCUACCCCGAAAGGGACGGGAAUCUCCUAAAACCAAUCUUAGUUCGGAUUGAGGGCUGCAACUCGCCCUCAUGAAGCUGGAAUCCGUAGUAAUCGCGUUUCAACAGAACGCGGUGAAUACGUCCCCGCUCCUU